UAUGGUAAUUGCCAGCCGCCGCGGUAAUACGUAUGGUGCAAGCGUUAUCCGGAUUUACUGGGUGUAAAGGGAGCGCAGGCGGUGCGGCAAGUCUGAUGUGAAAGCCCGGGGCUCAACCCCGGUACUGCAUUGGAAACUGUCGUACUAGAGUGUCGGAGGGGUAAGUGGAAUUCCUAGUGUAGCGGUGAAAUGCGUAGAUAUUAGGAGGAACACCAGUGGCGAAGGCGGCUUACUGGACGAUAACUGACGCUGAGGCUCGAAAGCGUGGGGAGCAAACAGG
RNAcentral lists this ribosomal RNA (280 nucleotides) under Roseburia faecis M72/1. RNAcentral's name for it is "partial 16S ribosomal RNA". It matches the Rfam family "Bacterial small subunit ribosomal RNA", at positions 497 to 776 of the family's 1533-position model. Lineage: Bacteria; Bacillati; Bacillota; Clostridia; Lachnospirales; Lachnospiraceae. The record is from RNAcentral.